Molecule: ribosomal RNA, 484 nt
Filed under: uncultured bacterium
Lineage: Bacteria
Description: partial 16S ribosomal RNA
Rfam family: Bacterial small subunit ribosomal RNA
Source: RNAcentral
AUUGAACGCUGGCGGCAUGCUUUACACAUGCCAGUCGAACGGCAGCGCGGGCUUCGGCCUGGCGGCGAGUGGCGAACGGGUGAGUAAUGCAUCGGAACGUGCCCAGUAGUGGGGGAUAGCCCGGCGAAAGCCGGAUUAAUACCGCAUACGACCUGAGGGUGAAAGCGGGGGACCGAAAGGCCUCGCGCUAUUGGAGCGGCCGAUGUCGGAUUAGCUAGUUGGUGGGGUAAAGGCUUACCAAGGCGACGAUCCGUAGCUGGUCUGAGAGGACGACCAGCCACACUGGGACUGAGACACGGCCCAGACUCCUACGGGAGGCAGCAGUGGGGAAUUUUGGACAAUGGGGGCAAACCUGAUCCAGCCAUGCCGCGUGCGGGAAGAAGGCCUUCGGGUUGUAAACCGCUUUUGUUCGGGAAGAAAUCCUCUGGGCUAAUACCCCGGGGGGAUGACGGUACCGGAAGAAUAAGCACCGGCUAACUACGUG